RNAcentral lists this ribosomal RNA (466 nucleotides) under uncultured bacterium. RNAcentral's name for it is "bacterial SSU rRNA". It matches the Rfam family "Bacterial small subunit ribosomal RNA", at positions 338 to 795 of the family's 1533-position model. The record is from RNAcentral.
CCUANGGGGGGCAGCAGUGGGGAAUAUUGCGCAAUGGGCGAAAGCCUGACGCAGCGACGCCGCGUGGGUGAUGAAGGCCUUCGGGUCGUAAAACUCUGUCGGGUGGAACGAAUCUCCUCUCCUCUAAUACAGGGGGGGAUUGACGGUACCACCGAAGGAAGCCCCGGCUAACUACGUGCCAGCAGCCGCGGUAAUACGUAGGGGGCGAGCGUUGUUCGGAUUUACUGGGCGUAAAGAGCGCGUAGGUGGUUCGAUGAGUCGGAGGUGAAAUCCCUCGGCUUAACCGAGGACCCGCGUCCGAUACUGUCGAACUUGAGUGCAGGAGAGGAGAGCGGAAUUCCCAAUGUAGCGGUGAAAUGCGUAGAUAUUGGGAGGAACACCGGUGGCGAAGGCGGCUCUCUGGACUGCCACUGACACUGAGGCGCGAAAGCUAGGGGAGCAAACGGGAUUAGAUACCCCGNUANUC